GGGGGGGGGGGCUGUAGCAGUAGAGUAGCCUUGUUGCUACGAUCUGCUGAGGCUUAGCCUUUGUUCUACAGAUUUGUGCUUUUGCACUCUGUCAGGUUGGUUUGGACUGGGGGGUUAAGGUACUGGUUGUACGUCACAAUCAAGACCGUACCUAGGGGGUGGCACCAACUUAGUAUCAAGAUCGCACCUAGGGGGGUGCGAGUUUUACUACAUGACACUGUAGUCAGACACUGUAUAGCAUGGAUGGCAUGUCCUUACUUAGUGGUUGACUCAUGGUGCCAAUGUCGGAAGUUGCUUACUUCGACUUCGACAUAAACCUCUUUCCACAAGUUAUUCUUAUAUGUAGGCCAGGUCUAGGACAUGUACAAGUCUUUAUAGGACUCGUGCAAGGUCUAGACCUGGCCUAGAUGUGCAAAUAGCUGUGUGGAGAGUAGUACUUAAGCGCACAGAACUCUUACUAGUAUCUACGGCCAUAGGAUCCAGAAAAUACCGCAUCCCGUCCGAUCUGGA
RNAcentral lists this unclassified non-coding RNA (510 nucleotides) under Apiotrichum brassicae. Lineage: Eukaryota; Fungi; Basidiomycota; Tremellomycetes; Trichosporonales; Trichosporonaceae. The record is from RNAcentral.